AGAGUUUGAUCCUGGCUCAGGACGAACGUUGGCGGUGCGCUUAAUGCAUGAGAGUUUGAUCCUGGCUCAGGAUGAACGCUAGCGGCAGGCUUAACACAUGCAAGUCGAGGGGUAACAGGGAGAAGCUUGCUUUUCCGCUGACGACCGGCGCACGGGUGCGUAACGCGUAUACAAUCUACCUCGUACUGAGGGAUAGCCCAGAGAAAUUUGGAUUAACCCCUCAUGGUAUUAUGAUAUGGCAUCAUAUUAUAAUUAAAGGUUACGGUAUGAGAUGAGUAUGCGUUCUAUUAGCUAGUAGGUUUGGUAACGGCAGACCUAGGCUACGAUAGAUAGGGGCCCUGAGAGGGGGAUCCCCCACACUGGUACUGAGACACGGACCAGACUCCUACGGGAGGCAGCAGUGAGGAAUAUUGGGCAAUGGACGAGAGUCUGACCCAGCCAUGCCGCGUGCAGGAAGACUGCCCUAUGGGUUGUAAACUGCUUUUAUAUAGGAAGAAACCUAUCCACGUGUGGAUAGCUGACGGUACUAUAAGAAUAAGGAUCGGCUAACUCCGUGCCAGCAGCCGCGGUAAUACGGAGGAUCCAAGCGUUAUCCGGAAUCAUUGGGUUUAAAGGGUCCGUAGGUGGAUAAAUAAGUCAGAGGUGAAAUCCUGCAGCUCAACUGUAGAACUGCCUUUGAAACUGUUUAUCUUGAGUCAUUAUGAAGUGGUUAGAAUGUGUAGUGUAGCGGUGAAAUGCAUAGAUAUUACACAGAAUACCGAUUGCGAAGGCAGAUCACUAAUAAUGUACUGACACUGAUGGACGAAAGCGUGGGGAGCGAACAGGAUUAGAUACCCUGGUAGUCCACGCCGUAAACGAUGGUCACUAGCUGUUCGGACUUCGGCCUGAGUGGCUAAGCGAAAGUGAUAAGUGACCCACCUGGGGAGUACGUUCGCAGAAUGAAACUC
RNAcentral lists this ribosomal RNA (947 nucleotides) under uncultured bacterium. RNAcentral's name for it is "bacterial SSU rRNA". It matches the Rfam family "Bacterial small subunit ribosomal RNA", at positions 1 to 902 of the family's 1533-position model. The record is from RNAcentral.